GAGUUUAUCCUGGCUCAGAUUGAACGCUGGCGGCAUGCCUUACACAUGCAAGUCGAACGGCAGCAUGAUCUAGCUUGCUAGAUUGAUGGCGAGUGGCGAACGGGUGAGUAAUACAUCGGAACGUGCCCUGUAGUGGGGGAUAACUAGUCGAAAGAUUAGCUAAUACCGCAUACGACCUGAGGGUGAAAGUGGGGGACCGCAAGGCCUCAUGCUAUAGGAGCGGCCGAUGUCUGAUUAGCUAGUUGGUGGGGUAAAGGCCCACCAAGGCGACGAUCAGUAGCUGGUCUGAGAGGACGAUCAGCCACACUGGGACUGAGACACGGCCCAGACUCCUACGGGAGGCAGCAGUGGGGAAUUUUGGACAAUGGGCGAAAGCCUGAUCCAGCAAUGCCGCGUGUGUGAAGAAGGCCUCGG
This 414-nucleotide ribosomal RNA is filed under the name uncultured microorganism. Its description in RNAcentral is "bacterial SSU rRNA". It matches the Rfam family "Bacterial small subunit ribosomal RNA", at positions 9 to 420 of the family's 1533-position model. The record is from RNAcentral.